RNAcentral lists this ribosomal RNA (856 nucleotides) under uncultured bacterium. Its description in RNAcentral is "bacterial SSU rRNA". It matches the Rfam family "Bacterial small subunit ribosomal RNA", at positions 42 to 892 of the family's 1533-position model. The record is from RNAcentral.
GCGUGCUUAACACAUGCAAGUCUAUUUGAAGUUGGAAGCUUGCUUCCGGCGGAGGAUGGCGAACGGGUGAGUAACGCGUAGACAACCUGCCCUUCAAUCUGGGACAACCCUGUGAAAACGGGACUAAGACCGGAUGGUAUCUCUUUCUCGCAUGAGAUUGAGAUUAAAGAUCUCGAAUCGUUGAAGGAUGGGUCUGCGUGACAUUAGCUAGUUGGUAGGGUAACGGCUUACCAAGGCUAUGAUGUCUAGCUGGUCUGAGAGGAUGAUCAGCCACACUGGGACUGAGAUACGGCCCAGACUCCUACGGGAGGCAGCAGUGAGGAAUAUUGCGCAAUGGGGGCAACCCUGACGCAGCAACGCCGCGUGUACGAAGACGCAGUUAUCUGUGUAAAGUACUGUUAAUCGGGACGAAGGAGUUUGUUAGCAGCAGACUUUGACUGUACCGGUAGAGGAAGCUCCGGCUAACUCCGUGCCAGCAGCCGCGGUAAUACGGGGGGAGCGAGCGUUGUCCGGAAUCAUUGGGCGUAAAGGGCAUUCAGGUGGGUCUUUAAGUCAGUUGUUAAAUAUUACGGCUUAACCGUAUUAUGCAAUUGAUACUGGAGAUCUUGAGUUUGAGAGGGGACAGUGGAAUACCUAGUGUAGCGGUGGAAUGCGUAGAUAUUAGGUAGAACACCCGAGGCGAAGGCGACUGUCUGGCUCAUAACUGACACUGAAGUGCGAAAGCAUGGGUAGCAAACAGGAUUAGAUACCCUGGUAGUCCAUGCCGUAAACGAUGGGUACUAGUUGUCGGGGAACUAACCCCCUCGGUGGCGUCGCUAACGCUUUAAGUACCCCGCCUGGGGAGUACGAUCGCAAG